GACGAGCGCUGGCGGCGUGCUUAACACAUGCAAGUCGAACGGAAAGGCCCUGCUUGCAGGGUGCUCGAGUGGCGAACGGGUGAGUAACACGUGGGUGAUCUGCCCCUUACUUUGGGAUAAGCCUGGGAAACUGGGUCUAAUACUGGAUAGGACCAUGCUGUAGGUGGUGUGGUGGAAAGAUUAGUUUCGGUAAGGGAUGAGCUCGCGGCCUAUCAGCUUGUUGGUGGGGUAAUGGCCUACCAAGGCGUCGACGGGUAGCCGGCCUGAGAGGGUGGACGGCCACAUUGGGACUGAGAUACGGCCCAGACUCCUACGGGAGGCAGCAGUGGGGAAUAUUGCACAAUGGGCGCAAGCCUGAUGCAGCGACGCCGCGUGGGGGAUGACGGCCUUCGGGUUGUAAACUCCUUUCAGCCAUGACGAAGCCCUUGUGGUGACGGUAGUGGUAGAAGAAGCACCGGCUAACUACGUGC
Molecule: ribosomal RNA, 470 nt
Filed under: uncultured bacterium
Lineage: Bacteria
Description: partial 16S ribosomal RNA
Rfam family: Bacterial small subunit ribosomal RNA
Source: RNAcentral